ACGUAGGGGGCAAGCGUUGUCCGGAUUCACUGGGCGUAAAGAGCACGUAGGCGGUUAAUUAAGUCAGGUGUGAAAGUUUUCGGCUCAACCGGAAAAGUGCACUUGAAACUGGAUAACUUGAGUAUCGGAGAGGUAAGCGGAAUUCCUAGUGUAGCGGUGAAAUGCGUAGAGAUUAGGAAGAACACCGGUGGCGAAGGCGGCUUACUGGACGAUAACUGACGCUGAGGUGCGAAAGCGUGGGGAGCGAACAG
RNAcentral lists this ribosomal RNA (251 nucleotides) under uncultured bacterium. RNAcentral describes it as "partial 16S ribosomal RNA". It matches the Rfam family "Bacterial small subunit ribosomal RNA", at positions 525 to 775 of the family's 1533-position model. The record is from RNAcentral.